UCCAGUUUAACACUGGCAGUCUCUCCAAAGUUCCCAACUUAAUGAUGGCAAUAGGAGACGAGGGUUGCGCUCGUUACGGGACUUAACCCAACAUCUCACGACACGAGCUGACGACAGCCAUGCAGCACCUGUCUCUUCGUUCCCCGAAGGGCACCAUCCUAUCUCUAGGACGUUCGAAGGAUGUCAAGCCCAGGAUAAGGUUCUUCGCGUUGCAUCGAAUUGAACCACAUGCUCCACCGCUUGUGCGGGUCCCCGUCAAUUCCUUUGAGUUUUAAUCUUGCGACCGUACUUCCCAGGCGGAAUACUUAACGCGUUAGCUUCGACACGACAGGGGUUAACUCCUAUCACAUCAAGUAUUCAUCGUUUACGGCGUGGACUAC
Molecule: unclassified non-coding RNA, 380 nt
Filed under: uncultured bacterium
Lineage: Bacteria
Description: contains 16S-23S intergenic spacer region
Source: RNAcentral